Molecule: ribosomal RNA, 2925 nt
Filed under: Escherichia coli
Lineage: Bacteria; Pseudomonadati; Pseudomonadota; Gammaproteobacteria; Enterobacterales; Enterobacteriaceae
Description: 23S ribosomal RNA
Rfam family: Bacterial large subunit ribosomal RNA
Source: RNAcentral
GGGUUGUGAGGUUAAGCGACUAAGCGUACACGGUGGAUGCCCUGGCAGUCAGAGGCGAUGAAGGACGUGCUAAUCUGCGAUAAGCGUCGGUAAGGUGAUAUGAACCGUUAUAACCGGCGAUUUCCGAAUGGGGAAACCCAGUGUGUUUCGACACACUAUCAUUAACUGAAUCCAUAGGUUAAUGAGGCGAACCGGGGGAACUGAAACAUCUAAGUACCCCGAGGAAAAGAAAUCAACCGAGAUUCCCCCAGUAGCGGCGAGCGAACGGGGAGGAGCCCAGAGUCUGAAUCAGUGUGUGUGUUAGUGGAAGCGUCUGGAAAGGCGCGCGAUACAGGGUGACAGCCCCGUACACAAAAAUGCACAUACUGUGAGCUCGAUGAGUAGGGCGGGACACGUGGUAUCCUGUCUGAAUAUGGGGGGACCAUCCUCCAAGGCUAAAUACUCCUGACUGACCGAUAGUGAACCAGUACCGUGAGGGAAAGGCGAAAAGAACCCCGGCGAGGGGAGUGAAAAAGAACCUGAAACCGUGUACGUACAAGCAGUGGGAGCCUCUUUUAUGGGGUGACUGCGUACCUUUUGUAUAAUGGGUCAGCGACUUAUAUUCUGUAGCAAGGUUAACCGAAUAGGGGAGCCGAAGGGAAACCGAGUCUUAACUGGGCGUUAAGUUGCAGGGUAUAGACCCGAAACCCGGUGAUCUAGCCAUGGGCAGGUUGAAGGUUGGGUAACACUAACUGGAGGACCGAACCGACUAAUGUUGAAAAAUUAGCGGAUGACUUGUGGCUGGGGGUGAAAGGCCAAUCAAACCGGGAGAUAGCUGGUUCUCCCCGAAAGCUAUUUAGGUAGCGCCUCGUGAAUUCAUCUCCGGGGGUAGAGCACUGUUUCGGCAAGGGGGUCAUCCCGACUUACCAACCCGAUGCAAACUGCGAAUACCGGAGAAUGUUAUCACGGGAGACACACGGCGGGUGCUAACGUCCGUCGUGAAGAGGGAAACAACCCAGACCGCCAGCUAAGGUCCCAAAGUCAUGGUUAAGUGGGAAACGAUGUGGGAAGGCCCAGACAGCCAGGAUGUUGGCUUAGAAGCAGCCAUCAUUUAAAGAAAGCGUAAUAGCUCACUGGUCGAGUCGGCCUGCGCGGAAGAUGUAACGGGGCUAAACCAUGCACCGAAGCUGCGGCAGCGACGCUUAUGCGUUGUUGGGUAGGGGAGCGUUCUGUAAGCCUGUGAAGGUGUGCUGUGAGGCAUGCUGGAGGUAUCAGAAGUGCGAAUGCUGACAUAAGUAACGAUAAAGCGGGUGAAAAGCCCGCUCGCCGGAAGACCAAGGGUUCCUGUCCAACGUUAAUCGGGGCAGGGUGAGUCGACCCCUAAGGCGAGGCCGAAAGGCGUAGUCGAUGGGAAACAGGUUAAUAUUCCUGUACUUGGUGUUACUGCGAAGGGGGGACGGAGAAGGCUAUGUUGGCCGGGCGACGGUUGUCCCGGUUUAAGCGUGUAGGCUGGUUUUCCAGGCAAAUCCGGAAAAUCAAGGCUGAGGCGUGAUGACGAGGCACUACGGUGCUGAAGCAACAAAUGCCCUGCUUCCAGGAAAAGCCUCUAAGCAUCAGGUAACAUCAAAUCGUACCCCAAACCGACACAGGUGGUCAGGUAGAGAAUACCAAGGCGCUUGAGAGAACUCGGGUGAAGGAACUAGGCAAAAUGGUGCCGUAACUUCGGGAGAAGGCACGCUGAUAUGUAGGUGAAGUCCCUUGCGGAUGGAGCUGAAAUCAGUCGAAGAUACCAGCUGGCUGCAACUGUUUAUUAAAAACACAGCACUGUGCAAACACGAAAGUGGACGUAUACGGUGUGACGCCUGCCCGGUGCCGGAAGGUUAAUUGAUGGGGUCAGCGCAAGCGAAGCUCUUGAUCGAAGCCCCGGUAAACGGCGGCCGUAACUAUAACGGUCCUAAGGUAGCGAAAUUCCUUGUCGGGUAAGUUCCGACCUGCACGAAUGGCGUAAUGAUGGCCAGGCUGUCUCCACCCGAGACUCAGUGAAAUUGAACUCGCUGUGAAGAUGCAGUGUACCCGCGGCAAGACGGAAAGACCCCGUGAACCUUUACUAUAGCUUGACACUGAACAUUGAGCCUUGAUGUGUAGGAUAGGUGGGAGGCUUUGAAGUGUGGACGCCAGUCUGCAUGGAGCCGACCUUGAAAUACCACCCUUUAAUGUUUGAUGUUCUAACGUUGGCCCCUAAUCGGGGUUGCGGACAGUGUCUGGUGGGUAGUUUGACUGGGGCGGUCUCCUCCUAAAGAGUAACGGAGGAGCACGAAGGUUGGCUAAUCCUGGUCGGACAUCAGGAGGUUAGUGCAAUGGCAUAAGCCAGCUUGACUGCGAGCGUGACGGCGCGAGCAGGUGCGAAAGCAGGUCAUAGUGAUCCGGUGGUUCUGAAUGGAAGGGCCAUCGCUCAACGGAUAAAAGGUACUCCGGGGAUAACAGGCUGAUACCGCCCAAGAGUUCAUAUCGACGGCGGUGUUUGGCACCUCGAUGUCGGCUCAUCACAUCCUGGGGCUGAAGUAGGUCCCAAGGGUAUGGCUGUUCGCCAUUUAAAGUGGUACGCGAGCUGGGUUUAGAACGUCGUGAGACAGUUCGGUCCCUAUCUGCCGUGGGCGCUGGAGAACUGAGGGGGGCUGCUCCUAGUACGAGAGGACCGGAGUGGACGCAUCACUGGUGUUCGGGUUGUCAUGCCAAUGGCACUGCCCGGUAGCUAAAUGCGGAAGAGAUAAGUGCUGAAAGCAUCUAAGCACGAAACUUGCCCCGAGAUGAGUUCUCCCUGACUCCUUGAGAGUCCUGAAGGAACGUUGAAGACGACGACGUUGAUAGGCCGGGUGUGUAAGCGCAGCGAUGCGUUGAGCUAACCGGUACUAAUGAACCGUGAGGCUUAACCUUACAACGCCGAAG